GACGAACCGUGCGAACGUUAUUCGGAAUCACUGGGCUUAAAGGGUGCGUAGGCGGGUGGACAAGUCGAGGGUGAAAGCCUCUAGCUUAACUAGAGAAGUGCCCUCGAUACUGUUUGUCUUGAGAGAGAUAGGGGCACACGGAACUUCCGGUGGAGCGGUGAAAUGCGUAGAUAUCGGAAGGAACGCCGGUGGCGAAAGCGGUGUGCUGGAUCUUUUCUGACGCUGAGGCACGAAAGCUAGGGUAGCGAACGGGAUUAGAUACCCCGGUAGUCCUAGCCCUAAACGAUGAGUACUAGAUUGUGGACUGACAUGGGUUCACAGUCGAAGCAAAAGUAUUAAGUACUCCGCCUGGGGAGUAUGGUCGCAAGGCUG
This 372-nucleotide ribosomal RNA is filed under the name uncultured prokaryote. RNAcentral describes it as "bacterial SSU rRNA". It matches the Rfam family "Bacterial small subunit ribosomal RNA", at positions 524 to 896 of the family's 1533-position model. The record is from RNAcentral.